GGGCCCGUUGCCCAGCCAGGACAGGGCGCUAGCCCUCUAAGCUAGAUGUCGCGCGUUCAAAUCGCGCCGGGCCCGCCA
Molecule: transfer RNA, 78 nt
Filed under: Candidatus Thorarchaeota archaeon
Lineage: Archaea; Promethearchaeati; Candidatus Thorarchaeota
Description: tRNA-Arg
Rfam family: tRNA
About the family: Transfer RNA (tRNA) molecules are approximately 80 nucleotides in length.
Source: RNAcentral